UAAAUUAAGUGACUACAAUGGCCAUCACUACAGAGAUAUAUUUAUGAAACCUAAAAGUUAUUAUCAGAGUUUAAAGAUCAUUUUAUUUUCUAUUAUGUAGAACUUUUUGUUUUCAUGAAAACUGAAAAAAUUUCAAAUUUAGUGUUUGGCGUUAAGUUUUUCUUUUGAAAAAUGGGUUAUAAUAAAAUAAUUUACCAGAGUCAGGUGAUAUUCUAUUAGUCUACAUAAUGUCGCCUUUCAGGAAGGGUAUAUUACUAAUUAAUUGUCGAGAAUAAAAACUGGUUGUAUUACAAUAUUACCUGUGUAUGUAAUUUAGCAAUGAUCAAUGUUAACUCAUGCUCACAAAUAAGCCCACCCCAACAGAUGAGGGUCAUAUUCUGUAACAUCCCUUUCAACAGGUCAAUUAAGAGGAUUAACACAGAAUCCUUGUUCUCCCUACUUCACAGGUGAUCUAUUGUUACUAGGGAGGAGAUAGCUCACAGGGUAGGGAAAGACAGCCAACACUAGGUACAACAUCAUAAUGAUGAAUUGUUAGCAUGACAUCAUGUAUUGUUUCUCUGACGUCAUACAAUUGUUAUGAAUGGGUAAUUCCCUGUUUCAACCUCACGUUUUUUGACGAAUGACUUUCGAUAAUUUUUUGUUCUGUCUAGAAUUUUGUUUAUUUGUAAGUAUGUGAGAAAAAUAACCAAACAUGUGUCUGUUCCUCAGACAGGGAUAUGUCACCCUUGUAUAAGACUUUGACUGGUCACUAGGAGGCUUGCCGAGAGCUGGCCAGCCAAACUCAUACACUCGGACUGAGAUUCCCUGUUCACACUGACAAACCUAUGAUUCUAUGGGUCCAUUUGAUUCCUUUACUAAUAUUCCAGGAAGUCACUGUGAGGACAUAUCCUAGUGUUGAUACAGACAUGAUGUGACUGGAUGAAGAAUUGUAAAAAGCUUUGAUCAGGCAAUUAUGUUCAAAUUAAGUAUUACGUUUUCAGAGUUUUGUUGGGGUGGGAAUACGGGCUUUAUUAGUGUGUUAUUGUUUAAAUCAUAAUGAAUCAGCAUUACCUUGUUGUUGUAUGUUGUUACUUAUAUCAAACUUCGUCAGUGAAAAGAAAUACUUUAAAGAUCAUGAAAAUUACAGCAGUUUCUUACGUUGUUAGAUGCUCUCAUAAAAGUUUGGUGACGGGAAAGAAAUGUUUGUUUAUACAUGUUUUUGUGUUUGUACAAUUUUCUAAUUUUAUCUAACAAUAGGUAUGUAAAUAAAACAAGUAGGUAGAAAGUUAAAUCAUCAGUCGAAAAAUAUCAUCUCUGUCAGACAUUUUUAAUUUGUUUGAAAACAAAAUCAAAUACAUAUAUAAGUUAUAAUACUAGUCAGAGUUUUAUCAAACCUCGCUUUUAUUUUAACCUUCUAUUAAUGUUCAACGGAGAUUGCAAUGAAACAUAUUUUGUAUUUCCAUCAAUCCUGAUACAUUCACAUCCAUACAUACAUCAUUUAUGUAAAACAUGAAGCUAAUCUUUUUCAUUACUUUACAAGAUCAGAUUGUUUUAUUUUAAAUUCAAGAAUAAAUCUGUUUUAAGUUUUGAUAAUCACGUAACUGGAACUGAAAUUUAACCUGUUGGGAAUCUUGAGAGAAUUUGUAUCACUUUAUCAUCAUUUCACUGUUCUGAAAUGCAUAUUGAGGGCCAUAAUGAUCAGUAAUUAGAUUGAAAGUAGCCUGCAUGAAUGAUUGUCUGAAAAUUUGACUUUUAUAUUGACCUUCAAACUCAUCAGAUGGCCAGAGUCAAUUAAUUUUUUGACAAUUAUGUAUUUUGUUUUUAAUGAAUUCUCUUUUUAAAAAAUUUCAACACACAUUUUACAUACUGUAUAAGAGAUUUUAAUGCUAAAUUGUCAGGUCACAAGUUUAUCUUGAAGGUCAAUUUUAAAGGUCAAAUUUCGGAAUGUGAGGGAAAUAUCAAUGGGAAAUAUCAAUGUUAAAUGAAAGAAAUAGUGUGAUUGCUAGUCUCAGUAAUAUUGUAUGUCUCUAAAUUGUCUGGAGAGGAAUUGUCAAGCUAUAAAAUAUAAGCCAUAAACAGACUUUGUAACUACAGAUGAGUCCACUUUAUUGCAUAUCGGUUAUUUGCAUAACUUGCUUAUUUGCAUAAAAUUCUCGGUCCUGAUUUUGUAUUAAUGAUAGAAUAAAUCAAGGAUGAAAUUUUAAUCCUGUAACUACCACCCUGAGCUCAGACCCUUUAUCUCUAUACACCCAUCAAUAGCAUUUUGGUAUGCUCCACACUUAUACAUAUAUAUUCUUGAGCAAGACAAUACCCUAGCUGUUGUACCUCAUAUAGUGUAGCAGUGUUGCCUUCAAAACCACUCCAUUUUAUAAAACAGAUUGAUUAUGGAGAAGGGGAAGCCGAGCUGCUUUUAGAGACUAAUAGCUGUCACUCUUUAGGUAUCUCAUAAUUAGGAAAUUCUCUGGUGUUUUCACAUAAAUUCCACAGGAAGACCAAAUGAUUUAUGCAAAUUUCUACAAGGGUACAUUUUUAUGUCUGAUUAAUUCAGUGAUUAUGAUUCAAUUAAUGCUCAUUUGUUAGUUGACAAUGGAUGAGGUCAAAAUGUGUGACAUGUAGUUCGCUUUUUUGAAGGACACUGUUAAAUUUUUUUAUAAACUUGACAAAUAUGUGAAAGAUCUUGAAAAACAUUUUUUUUGUUAUUGUAAUGUGAACACAUCGUAAAUACAUGUAUAUUGUAUGUAUGUUUUUUAAUUGUUUUUGAUUUAAGGAGAUAAAGACACAUUUGAGAUUAAUUAGACAUAUUUAGUAAUCUUUUCAACAAUAGGCUAGAUUCAGUACCUUAUAUUAAUAACUGUAGAAUUCUUUGGAAGCAAAACUCAUACAAAUUAAAUCUGAAUACACUGGGGAUGGAUACGGAUGGUAUAAAAAAUCAAAGUUACAAUUUACAUUUAUUAGAAUUAGGACAUCAAACACCUCUCCCCUCUCCACACAUAGAUAAAAAAGUAAACAUUGCAAUUUUGAUCAAAGAAGUUCAAAUGUAUUUUUCAUUUGUUUAACUUUCUAGGUCAAUAUGUAUGAUAAUAGUAUUAAUGGCACAUUGUCAUCACAAAUUGUAAAAAAAAAAAAAAUCAAAAAAAAAUUCAAGAAUGACAAUGUGAAACUGUUAAAUUCCAAAUAUUGACGAACUUCUUUUUUCGCUGUAGUAUGGUUUAUGUUGAGAAUUACUUCCCCCUGACUGAGGAUUACUUCCCCUGACAAGAAGGAAUUUACUAUGCUAUUGUAUCGCUGUAGUUAUUAACACGUAUAUAUUAUAUACAAUUCUAUAUAUUAGUACAUGAUUUACUGAUGAGAAGUCCUUACUUGUAGCUCACCAUCCUACUUAGAUCUGAUGUUAACUCACUGAUGUUAACUCACUGGGUUGACUUGUGGGAAUAGGAUGGUGUAGUCUUUAGAUACAGGCUUACUUGGAUCAGUAAAUAUCAUAAUUAGUGAUUAACCUAGGUAGUUAGUAUAUAAUCUUUUCUUACAUGGAUUAACCAUCAGCAGAUGACAACAUAGAAGCUAAAUGAUAUAAAGAUAUCUGGAUCAGUGGCAUUACUUAAUAUGUGAUCUAAUUAUACAUUCGUAAUUGUGAACCAUGUUUCCCUACAGAUUGUCUUUAUAAAAUGAGUUAAAAUCAGUAAUUAUGAAAGAAAACAUAACCAAUUAUUUUAUUAAAUGUGUACUUUUGAUAGAAAAAAUGGUAGUUUUCCUAAUGUACUGCUAGAUAAAUUUAAUAUCAAUAUUGCAAAGAAACAAGUAUGGUAGGAUACUUCAGUUCCACAAUUUUCAAAUUUAAAUCUUAGAAUGUAACAAGAUAUUCAUUCUUUGAAAAAAAAAGGUGUAAUAAAUAUUUGUUGUGUUUUGUCUAUCAUUCACAUAUCAGUUCCAAGGUGUGUGGACAAAUACUUCACAUUACCAACAAGACGAGCAUCUUCGUACAUGUAUCUACAGCACAAUAAUUUAUGUUUGUAAUUACAAUUAUGAUUUUGACGUUUUCAUCAUAUUUCAGAGUUCAUACCAUCAACAUAGCUCAUAACAUGUCCUGAUUAUGAUGUUUUUGGUGAUUCGUGUUUGAUAUCUGUAAAUAUCUUUAUAACUUUGUACUCUUUCUUUACCUGGGUAGUUAUUUAUCUAUUUAUUUUCUCUAUGUAUAGUGCUAUUUGUUCCCCUUUCAUCACUUACACUCAGAUCUUUUGGAAUAUUGGACAAAUUUUCAUUUUUGGCAGGUUUAUUUUUCACAGUUCUAAAACCUACAUAUUGUGUAGGCUAAUUACUUUUCUAUUGUCAUUUACUCAACAUAUACUUGAUCUGGGUUCAAAGUGGACAUUUUUACCAGGUGGCCUAUUUGGCUACCAAGUCAUAAAAUCUAGGUGCCAAUUGGAAAAGUUAGUCGCCAGCCAAGUUGUUAAGUACAGUAUAAAACCUCUCUGUGUUUUAUUUCCGUUUGCUUUAAACAAAUCAUUGUUUGUUUUCCAUUACUAAUGUUUUUAACACUAGUUUGCUUCAUUAGAAUUAGUAUUGAACUUAAUAUUUUUAGUUCUGAAGCCUGGUAGAUGAACCACAACAAACAAAAGUUCUCUAGCCUGGUAGAUGAACCACAACACAUACAAACUUAGCAGGUUGUUUGGUAUUUUGAGUAUCUCUCCACCUGGAGAUUUUUCUUUCUUCUGGUUUAAUAUAUUUGAUAAAAUAAAUUUUAUAAUCUGUAAAAAGUGACAUAAAAAGCUUUCAAUACAAAAACGACAUAGUAUUGAAUAGUUUGAAGGCUGUCUCGACUUUUAGUGACCCACUUUUUGAAUGGUUAGCCUCUGGUAUGUUGAUGUCUCUGUUUCACCAUAACUAUGUGUUCUGUUUCAUCAUCAUACUUACAGUAGAAUGUGAUGUGUCAUGUAUGUGAUAAUUGUACUCCAUCAUGUAAUUUUGGUCACCUAUGUGAUAAAUUGUACUGUAUUGAGCAAACAUAAAAUAAAUCGAAGAACACUUUAAAA
Long non-coding RNA from Pecten maximus, 5009 nucleotides. RefSeq lists it as uncharacterized. The transcript has 2 exons. NCBI's taxonomy places the organism in Eukaryota, Metazoa, Mollusca, Bivalvia, Pectinida, Pectinidae. The record is from RefSeq and is a predicted model, not a curated record.